RNAcentral lists this ribosomal RNA (694 nucleotides) under uncultured bacterium. RNAcentral describes it as "bacterial SSU rRNA". It matches the Rfam family "Bacterial small subunit ribosomal RNA", at positions 141 to 851 of the family's 1533-position model. The record is from RNAcentral.
GGAUAACGUUUGGAAACGAACGCUAAUACCGCAUGAUAUUAUCUUGUCGCAUGAUAGGAUGAUCAAAGGAGUGAUCCGCUGAAAGAUGGGCUCGCGUCCGAUUAGGUAGUUGGUGAGGUAACGGCCCACCAAGCCGACGAUCGGUAGCCGGACUGAGAGGUUGGACGGCCACAUUGGGACUGAGACACGGCCCAGACUCCUACGGGAGGCAGCAGUAAGGGAUAUUGGUCAAUGGGGGAAACCCUGAACCAGCAACGCCGCGUGAGGGAAGACGGUUUUCGGAUUGUAAACCUCUGUCCUCUGUGAAGAUGAUGACGGUAGCAGAGGAGGAAGCUCCGGCUAACUACGUGCCAGCAGCCGCGGUAAUACGUAGGGAGCGAGCGUUGUCCGGAUUUACUGGGUGUAAAGGGUGCGUAGGCGGCUAUGCAAGUCAGUAGUGAAAUCCAUGGGCUUAACCCAUGAACUGCUAUUGAAACUGCACAGCUUGAGUGAAGUAGAGGUAGGCGGAAUUCCCGGUGUAGCGGUGAAAUGCGUAGAGAUCGGGAGGAACACCAGUGGCGAAGGCGGCCUACUGGGCUUUAACUGACGCUGAGGCACGAAAGCGUGGGUAGCAAACAGGAUUAGAUACCCUGGUAGUCCACGCUGUAAACGAUGAUUACUAGGUGUGGGGGGACUGAACCCUUCCGUGCCGGAG